UAGGUACAACGGAUUCCGGCGGGCAGAGC
Molecule: non-coding RNA, 29 nt
Filed under: Homo sapiens (human)
Lineage: Eukaryota; Metazoa; Chordata; Mammalia; Primates; Hominidae
Source: RNAcentral